RNAcentral lists this long non-coding RNA (1160 nucleotides) under Panax ginseng (ginseng). RNAcentral describes it as "long non-coding RNA (PGIN_LNC012852)". The record is from RNAcentral. Lineage: Eukaryota; Viridiplantae; Streptophyta; Magnoliopsida; Apiales; Araliaceae.
GGGAUACUUAAGCGGAUACAAUACAUAUUAAAAUUUGUUAACUUUAUUGUCAAUUUGAGAUUUUUAUACUUUGGAAAUAUGUUAAAUUUGGUGUCAAGCUGCCAAUUUCAUUGACACCAAAUUUAAUAUAUUUAAGAUACUUGAAAACGAAGCUCAAUUGAGGCUCAAUCUUGCUGAAAAUCUUAUCUGCAAAGACAAACAGGGAAAAUAAGAACACUCAAAAACAGCCAUUAAAGAACAAAUAAACUUGUGUUUCUAGAAAAGAAAACAAGAAAAAGCAUGAAACUCAUAAACAAAAGGUACGUAUAUAUUGCCCAAUAACUAGAUAUGAGCCUGCAAGGUGGAAGAAUCUUCAAAGAAUACACUAAAAAUUUGACAGCAAUAUUUCCUUGAAACUAAAAACAAGUGUGGCUAACUGACGCAAUAGAUUAAGAUAAUAUUUAACAGAAGAAUUAUAACAACAUAUUUUUUAGAUGUCUCGCUGAAAAAUCCUACAAAAUAACAAGGCAUUAAGAAAAAUCUUUUAUAGUUUUAAAGACAACGAUAAGCAAUGAAUAUAAAUUUCCUUGAUGGUUGAAAAGGGUAGUUAUAGCGAGAUGUUAAAUUAUCUCCAACCGCAAACAUAUAAUGUCCAUCUGUCAUCUUCUCGCCAUGGGGGAGAACCAUUUCGAGCCACUGGUUCUUGCAAAUUGUCAUGAUUAAAAUGUUACAUCUUGAGGUCAAUGGACACAAUAUGAAGAUUAGACAGGCAGACCUGAUUGCUUAUAGUUAUAAAAGAUAUAAAUAUUACCUUAGAUAAAAACAGCUAAACAUGCGAUAGUUUUCAUGUCAAAACUGUAUAUUUAGAAGCUAGUGUCUUUACAUCUAGUAUAGCUUAAGCUAACUAUUCCAGAGUGUUUAAGCAGAGAUUGAAAGUUUAGAUCAACCCUUCAGAAACUCACCUCUGCCCUUUUGUCCUGCAAAUAAAGUUAUGUACAUAAGUUGAGCACCCAGAACUCUAGUAUGUUGUUAAAGCAAUGAGCUUUUGAUCCACUGAUGACUUGGUCCUCUAUAUAUCCAGAAUGAAUUUCCCUGUGAUUAUUGACGUUACCAAAAUUAUGCAUCCGAUGAAUGGUUUUAAAUUAGUUGAUAUGGAUGUUGUGUCGUUCAUAGUUGGAGGG